This 497-nucleotide ribosomal RNA is filed under the name uncultured bacterium. RNAcentral's name for it is "partial 16S ribosomal RNA". It matches the Rfam family "Bacterial small subunit ribosomal RNA", at positions 28 to 507 of the family's 1533-position model. The record is from RNAcentral.
GAUGAACGCUGGCGGCGUGCCUAAUACAUGCAAGUCGAGCGAACAGACGAGGAGCUUGCUCCUCUGACGUUAGCGGCGGACGGGUGAGUAACACGUGGAUAACCUACCUAUAAGACUGGGAUAACUUCGGGAAACCGGAGCUAAUACCGGAUAAUAUAUCGAACCGCAUGGUUCAAUAGUGAAAGAUGGUUUUGCUGUCACUUAUAGAUGGAUCCGCGCCGCAUUAGCUAGUUGGUAAGGUAACGGCUUACCAAGGCAACGAUGCGUAGCCGACCUGAGAGGGUGAUCGGCCACACUGGAACUGAGACACGGUCCAGACUCCUACGGGAGGCAGCAGUAGGGAAUCUUCCGCAAUGGGCGAAAGCUUGACGGAGCAACGCCGCGUGAGUGAUGAAGGUCUUCGGAUCGUAAAACUCUGUUAUUAGGGAAGAACAAAUGUGUAAGUAACUAUGCACGUCUUGACGGUACCUAAUCAGAAAGCCACGGCUAACUACGUG